RNAcentral lists this long non-coding RNA (2749 nucleotides) under Mus musculus (house mouse). RNAcentral's name for it is "long non-coding RNA chr19:36349554-36352303". The record is from RNAcentral. Lineage: Eukaryota; Metazoa; Chordata; Mammalia; Rodentia; Muridae.
UUUUUUUUUUUUUUUUUUUUUUUAAUUUAAACCUGCCACAGUAACUUUCGGGGUGUAGGGCUAACCCACCUUCCCCAGUCUUGCUUCUCGUUUUCUGGAAGGGUAAUGAGAUUCCACCUGGCUGGGUUAAUGAAGCAGAGGAGGCGCUGAUUCGCUGCAGGGCCCGGUCCAGUCCCAUUCAGAAUUUGAAUGGUGUCAAGUGAGGGAGGUCUGCAGCAUGGUUGGAAUUCGAGUAAUUGUGUCUACUUCAGCAGUUGCCAAGUAAUUAGCAGAAUCCUUAAAAGUGAGUCGAUCUUAAACAACUGGUCCCUCAAGUAGAUGAUAUAAAGAUUAGCUUUAUUUUUUUAAGUUUUAAAAGGCCAUCUCGUUUUUCAUUCAUGAAUACAGAAUGUUUCCUACUGUCAUUAUUCCUGAACACCAACUUGACGUUCCCAUCCCACCCCACACUUGAAGGACUACAGAGCAAAUUUUCUUGUCAUCUGGGGCUCACCUCCAGUGUCAGGCCCCCACAAAUACUCUUGAUCACCAUACUUCUUAGUUCUUGGUCCUCCUAAACUACUUCAUACCCCUCCUAUUUUCUUAAUAGCUCCUAAUCGCUAAAAAAAAAAUACUUUGUAGCAGCAUUAUUUAAGUCUGCUCUCCCCCUACAAGAAUGUAAAUUUCACAGAGGAGAAAGUGGAAGACUUUACCUGUUUGUUCAUGUAUACACUCGAGUCAACAGAAGCCUCAUAUACAUUCGGGGCACCCUAUGUUUGUUGACAUGCCGAAUGAAUACAUUUCUCUCCCUCAUUCUUGGCAGGACGAUCUUCAACAGUUGCAAUGCCUUGCCUUUGGUGGGCAAGUUGCCAGUAGGGUACAGUUCUCACUUUCUCUUUACCGGUGUGAUUUUCUCGAGAUCGAUCCGUUUCCUCCGCUGUGCAGUUAAGGGCACACAGUGACAGACCUUUAAGCAUCCUGUUGUAAGAUGCUUACUAUGAAGACGGAUAUGAAGCUUUGGCACCACGUUUAUUACUGAGUAAAUAAAAAUAGAGCUACUAGUUUAAAAAUGGAAAAACUGCUAAAGCGAAAUCAGCGUAGUCAAGUUGUCCCAGGCCUGAAUGUUUCCGUUCGUUUGGAACACUGGUGUUUCUUCAUUCCUCUUUCCUCCUACCUGUAAACCAAACUCAUUCUUAGUGGUGGUGAAAACUGUCACAGUAAUAUAAUAUAGUAUUAAUUUAAACAAACUCAAAGCGUUCUUUCUCUGUCAGGGGCCCUAACUCUAAUGUGUUGUUGAUUUUGGACACAGAAUAGUAGCUAAAAGGUGUUGUCUAAAAUUAUCCUUUAAUUGACUCGAUUGAAUAUCACAAGGAUUAGAGCUACAAGUCAAUAUGGGAGGACGGUUUGGAUGUAGUACUUAAUACUCAGAUGACUACCUUGAUAAAGUAUGUUAUUAUAAAGAAUAAACUGCAGAGCGUGUUACUCAGCCUCAGUUUCGUAGCAGUACAGUCAGCUCUCAGUGUUUCCACGGUCCACUGCUGAAUAGGAGUGGCCGCCCUGCCUCAUCCUCGCAACUAGUCAUUUCUGGAAGUGUAACUUCAAGACCGAGUUCAGAGAACACAGCAUUUUAGAGCUAGCUACAAGAGAUCUUGAAGUUGCAGGCUACAUCCUUUCAGAACCGUCUCUGAAAUGACUUAGGUAGUAAAGGGAUUUGCUCAAGAUUCAGAGCUGGGACUAGAACCUAGAAUCUGGAGUUUGUGUUGUUGUGGAAGCCCCAGCGUUAGUCCAAGUACCAACAGGUGGGGAGGAAUUGCUCCUCCGACUAACAGAUUGUCUGCCUCUUGCUUGUGAACACUUUACAGGGAGUAAAAUCAUACCUCACUUGGAUUUGUAUCUUCCCAUGUCUCCCAUCUGAGGGAUUCAACAAAUACUUGCUGAAUCUGGUUGGACAAAUGGCUUUUCAGUGGAUAACAUACUUAAGAAGUGAAAACUAGGAAAGGAGUUUUUCUGGCAAAUAAGAAUAGGCCUUCGCAGUUUUAUGGUGAUGAUGCUACCAAUUUUAAUGUCUCUAAGUUUUAAUGAAAGUGACAUGGAACUUUUCAUGUGCGCUCUGUCUUGGUUAGCAUAGUGGUAUCUGGAGACAUAAGUUUGUUCACGUAGUGGGUCUUACAUUUGUAACAAUAGUCAGUAGAAAAGAAAGCCUGAAUUUCAGUUCUGUGUCUAGCAGGAAGCCCUCUCUAUAAUGAGGUACUUGACUUUGGGAGAAGUUCUCUCAUUUUGUGUGUGUGUGUGUGUGUGUGUGUGUGUGUACACGUGCGUGCACAUAGUGGUGGCAGCAUUGGUGCUGUGUACACUGAAGGAUUGUGUGAGCAUGGUCUACUGUAGAAGGACCUGGUAUAGAAAGGGCUCUUAAUGAGUUAUAUCUGAAAGUUGGGUGUGUUUGUGCAUACAUCUGUAAUCCCAGUACUUGUGAAGUUGAGGCAGGAGGAUCAGGAGUUCAAGGUCAUCCUGGGCUACGUAAUGAGUUCAAGGCCAGCUUUUACUAAAUGACACCUGGUCUCAAAAGAAAACAAACCAACAAUAAAAUAAAUACUAACUGUUCUACAUUCCACACGUAUGCAUCCGUGGGGCUGACACGGAGGGAUUAAAUGACCCCUGUGGCCCCUGAGGUCUGGCCCAACUCUUUGGUUUUAGGAACAGGCUACAUUUGUGCUGUUCUGAAUUUUUAAUUUUUAAUUAAAGUGAUACCUAUAUUCCUACAUCCUGUGAACUG